AUAAACUAUGCCUUCCAGCGAUCCGCCGAAGUUCCUCCGAUGACUCGGCGGGCAGCUUCCGGGAAACCAGAGCUUUUGGGUUCCGGGGGAAGUAUGGUUGCAAAGCUGAAACUUAAAGGAAUUGACGGAAGGGCACCACCAGGAGUGGAGCCUGCGGCUUAAUUUGACUCAACACGGGAAAACUCACCAGGCCCGGACACCGGAAGGAUUGACAGAUUGAGAGCUCUUUCUUGAUUCGGUGGGUGGUGGUGCAUGGCCGUUCUUAGUUGGUGGAGCGAUUUGUCUGGUUAAUUCCGAUAACGAACGAGACUCUAGCCUACUAACUAGGCGUACCCGGUAUCCACAAUCGUGCUACCGGCGGUCAAAUUUCUUCUUAGAGGGACAGGCGGCUUCUAGCCGCAAGAGACUGAGCAAUAACAGGUCUGUGAUGCCCUUAGAUGUCCUGGGCCGCACGCGCGCUACACUGAAGGAAUCAGCGUGUCUUCCCUGUCCGAAAGGACCGGGUAACCCGCUGAACCUCCUUUGUGCUAGGGAUUGGGGCUUGCAAUUGUUCCCCAUGAACGAGGAAUUCCCAGUAAGCGCGAGUCAUAAGCUCGCGUUGAUUACGUCCCUGCCCUUUGUACACACCGCCCGUCGCUACUACCGAUUGAAUGAUUUAGUGAGGUCUUCGGACUGGUGCGCGGAGGCCGCAUCCACGGUCUCCGAUGUUGCUGGAAAGAUGACCAAACUUGAUCAUUUAGAGGAAGUAAAAGUCGUAACAAGGUUU
RNAcentral lists this ribosomal RNA (766 nucleotides) under Choutagus longicephalus. RNAcentral's name for it is "SSU rRNA". It matches the Rfam family "Eukaryotic small subunit ribosomal RNA", at positions 1032 to 1802 of the family's 1831-position model. Lineage: Eukaryota; Metazoa; Arthropoda; Insecta; Hemiptera; Issidae. The record is from RNAcentral.